GCAUGUUUUGAUUUAAUGAAGUAAGUUCAAUGCCUAGGUUGUUAGUUCUCUGUUGCAUAACCGAUUGUAUCUCUGAAGUAAGAACGCACCCUGCUUUGAAUUUGUAACUUGACUAUACUACUUUGAUCGAAACUCGCUUAUCUGUUGCCAUUCCCUAUCUAUUAGAACCUGAACUGAAUUUGAAAUUAUCAUGUCUAUGCAUUGUUUAUGAACUCAUGGCUACCAUAUACAUACUUGGAUUAUUUUAUUCAUUUCAUCACCCUCUGUUAAUCCAAGUAGUUGUCUCUCAUUUUUAGAGCAGUUUCCCAUACCCUUAGCCUAGCCUUAUUUCAAGCCAAAGAUCAUUUGUGUGUGAUUGUGAGGUCUUUUUGAUUGAGCUUGGUAUAACGUGUUAGGUAUGAGCCGACAAGAGCAGUCUUUCAUGUAGACCUAGCCCACGCUUUUUGGGUUAGCUAGGACUAGGUGGAGACUUGUAUUUGGGAUUGGGAUUGUGUAUGGAAUGAAUGGGAAUGAGAGUGAGAAUAAAAAGAAAAGAAAAAAAAGAGAGAGUAAGAGUUUAGAGUUCUAAAGAGGAUACAAAAGUGUUAAGUCUAGUAAAGGGUUUGGAAUUCAAAGAAGUUAGGCAUUGAGAUUCAAAGAAAAGGGUAAAACGCCCUAUGUGCUAAGAAUAGAAGAAAAGCCUUAAGUUUGUCAUAGUAAAGAACCAAACCCGCUAGACUCUUAAAUCGUUUCAAAGAGAACCCCUUAGAACUUGAACCAAAAAAGAGAGAAAAAAAUGAGAAAAAUGGUAGAGUUAGGACAUCUAUAGGAAGGGGAUCAUCUUCUGAGCUAUCAUAUUAUAUCAUUGGGUAGAUGGGAGUCUGUUCUUGUAUGUGUCCGUUGGCUUUUACCUUUAGCAUUCUACUGAAGCUCAAUCUUUUCUCUGAGAGUCCCCUUGUUACUUGACCAAACCAUUAGAGAGACCAUUUUUGUCUCUUGGCCUAAGCCCGAAACCAAGUGAAUUCAUAACCAUUGCAUUGCUUGAUCCACUGUUCGUGCUUAAUGAAUGUUAAAGGGAAUUGGUUGAUGUGAAUGCUUGAAUAGAUUAAGGCAAGUUGUUAGGUUGCAUUGUGACAAGUAUGGCUAACGUUUUUAAGUAAGGUUAUAUCAUCUUGCAACCUAGAAUUAGCUACCUGGACAUUGAGCUUACCCAUUUUAUAUGCAUGCUUCGGUUUUUGAAUCCCCACCUUCAAACCUCUCCUUCAACUUAAGAUUUUUUGUUUGCUUGAGGGCAAGCAAGAGAUAAGUUUGGGGGAGUUGAUAACACUGUAUUUUACUCAUUUUAGGUGUAUGUUUAUCAUCAUUUAGCUUUGCAUUUGCUCAUUGUAUCAUGUCAUUUUGCACCAUUUUAGCUUGUUUUGCAUACUUAGGCAUCUAGGAUCAUCUUGCAUUCGCAUUGCAUGUUUUGGUGUGUUUUCAGGUGCAAAAGGAGCUUAAAAAGACUCUACUCGAUCCAUUCACUCGAUCCAGGCAGCUACUGAAGAGGCAUCAUUCUACUCGACCUCUUUACUCGAUCCAGGAUGCCACAAAGGAGGCUGCAGUUUACUCGACCCUCCUACUCGAUCAAGGCAACCUCAGACGAAGCAGUAGAUUCAACUACUCGCCCCUCCUACUCGAUCCACUACUCGAUCCAUUUACUCGACCAAGGGUGACCAUCUCUACAAGACUUGUUGAGCUAUCAAAGCGUCUUCGGAUCCUCCUCAUUCCCCACUCAACCAGACAUCUAAGCAUACAGAUAGGAGAGGAUGAAGCAUCUACUCGACCAAUUGAUCACUCGGCGCAUAAACACAAAGGCGCAGACUUUGCAGCACCCCCUUUACUCGAUCCCCAAGGUCAAGUAUUCACCCAGACCGCCUCAAGUCUCUUGUCUUCUAUGGAAUCUAGGGUUUCAACAUUUUAGUAUAAAUAGACCACUUUGGGAUUUGUCCAAGAGAUCUAUGCUUUAUCUUUCGGUUUUUCUUUGUGUUUAUGAAUCUUGAAACUUUAAUUACUCUUAAUCUAUUUCGUUUUUGCAUUUGAUUGUUUAAGUAAAGUUGUUUAGCUUGUUUAGAUCUACAUUUUGGUAUGAUUUUAGUAAUUUCUAGGUUUGUGUUCUUGAAAAUGUUGCUUGAGUAGUGAUUAGGGUUCUUGAGGAUGGAUUAGAUUAGGGUAAUCUCUAGGUUAGUUAGGUGGUUAGUGUUUAGGUUUAUACCCUUCUGGAUUCGCUUGGCCCCUAUGCGGUUUUCGCUGGCUAAUGUGGAGAUUCGAUCAUAGACGUCCAACGUCCAAAAGACGUUCAAAUGGAUGUCUGACCUACGAAUUCGAGAGAUAUGUAGACUCGACCAAGGGAUUGGCUUGUCUGCCUAUUGGCUUUGGUAGAUUGUUUCUUAAACCCUGCUCUGCUAUGUUUCAUCAACGAGAGUUGAGAUUAGGAAGUGGUAGAGUUAUGGGGGUCUCUGUCACGAGAGUGGAUUGACCUGGUUUUUGAAUCUAACGUCAUGGGUAUCUACCUUUCGCCUAUUAACCAUUUGAUGAACUGUGAGACCCAGUCCCGGACGUCUCGGCGUCCGGCGACCGUGUACUCAAGUUCGAGCCUCUUCCCGGUCGAACCUCUUAAUUUUUCGCGAUUCAACAUAGAAUUGCCUAUAUGAGGCUAAAUUCUAUAAUCACUUUCUUAUUACACAGCUGAAGUCUUUCUAACCUUGGUUUAAUUCUAACCAACUCGUGUACCGGUUUUAUCGUCUUUGUCCCUUAGACUUAGAUCGAUCCUUUACUCGGUCAAGACAUGCAUAUUGUUCGCUAACCAUUCUAGGCCUAACAAUCGCAUAUUCCUUUAUCCUAUUUUCACGGUCCAUUCCCAAACGUCUAUCCUAACUAGUAAGCUAGAUCGUUACAUACCUUGGCCAAUAUGCGGAUUUGAUUCCUUAGCCCGUUUGUCGCCUUAUCCUAUUCGUUCAAUGAU
Molecule: small RNA, 2980 nt
Filed under: Arabidopsis thaliana (thale cress)
Lineage: Eukaryota; Viridiplantae; Streptophyta; Magnoliopsida; Brassicales; Brassicaceae
Description: ATSL095370
Source: RNAcentral